GGUCUCAGUGCCCUUCAAAAUGGGCCAUGCGCAAAUUUCCUGGGAUCUCUUAUGGACAACUGGCCACAGUCGGAGCCAUAAGAGUAUGCCCUGCUCAGGAAAGGACUCGAAAGAGUAGGAGUAUGGCAGCUCAUCAGACAGAAACCGUCCUUGUUAUAUCUCUUCCGAGAGCAAGGUGUAAGACUUAGUGUUUCUAAGUUUGUAAACACUUUAAAGCCACGCUUCAGCGAGGAUUGAACCAACAAAAGGUCCAAAGAGGAGAGAGUAUACUCUUUCUUCAUUAGAUUCAUAAGAAAUGUUGCAGCUGGAAGACAAGGAAGCUUAACGCUUGGCCAGAUUUUGGCUUUUGCAACAGGUUCUGAAGAUUAACCAGUUCUUGGUUUUGAAAUUGAACCAACUAUCCUCUUCAGUGAACUCUCAGGCGACCUGCCAACUGCAUCAACCUGUAUCAAUCAACUAAUUCUUCCGUUGUCAGAUAAAAGUGAGGAAUACAUGAUAGACAGAUUCAUGUGGGCAUUCUCAAAUACCUAUUUGGACUCCAAUAACAUUGAUUGGAAAAAAAAGUUCUUUUGUCACUGACAGUGUAUUUCUGUAUUAUUUUCCAGUUUUCCUUGGUUGAUUAAUGGAUUUUUCGUUUGUACAGACACGUUUUAUGGAAAACGUAGCAUUUUUGUCAAAUAUCUUAUUUUUUUUCUCAAUUGACUUAGAAUUUUGGACUACAAUGUAAACCUUUUC
Saccostrea cuccullata (small rock oyster) is the source of this 735-nucleotide long non-coding RNA. RefSeq lists it as uncharacterized. The record is from RefSeq and is a predicted model, not a curated record. Lineage: Eukaryota; Metazoa; Mollusca; Bivalvia; Ostreida; Ostreidae. The transcript has 3 exons.